RNAcentral lists this ribosomal RNA (252 nucleotides) under uncultured prokaryote. RNAcentral describes it as "partial 16S rRNA". It matches the Rfam family "Archaeal small subunit ribosomal RNA", at positions 475 to 726 of the family's 1478-position model. The record is from RNAcentral.
ACCGGCGGCUCGAGUGGUGGCCACUAUUACUGGGCUUAAAGCGUUCGUAGCUGGCUUGUUAAGUCUCUGGGGAAAUCUUCCGGCUCAACCGGAAGGCGUCUCAGGGAUACUGGCAGGCUAGGGACCGGAAGAGGUGAGAGGUACUCCAGGGAUGGCAGCGAAACCCGGUGGGCCUGAGGGGGAGGAAUGUGGGGUGGGGGAGUCACCCGGACGGGUCAGACAGGUAGGACGGAGAGCUGCGGGAACACAACG